GAUGAACGUUGGCGGCGUGCUUAACACAUGCAAGUCGAGCGAGUGAGUUCUUCGGAACGAUCUAGCGGCGGACGGGUGAGUAACACGUGGGCAACCUGCCUCAUAGAGGGGAAUAGCCUCCCGAAAGGGAGAUUAAUACCGCAUAAAAUUAUCGAGUGGCAUCACACGAUAAUCAAAGGAGUGAUCCGCUAUGAGAUGGGCCCGCGGCGCAUUAGCUAGUUGGUGAGGUAACGGCUCACCAAGGCGACGAUGCGUAGCCGACCUGAGAGGGUGAUCGGCCACAUUGGGACUGAGACACGGCCCAGACUCCUACGGGAGGCAGCAGUGGGGAAUAUUGCACAAUGGGGGAAACCCUGAUGCAGCAACGCCGCGUGAGUGAUGAAGGUCUUCGGAUUGUAAAGCUCUGUCUUUGGGGACGAUAAUGACGGUACCCAAGGAGGAAGCCACGGCUAACUACGUGCCAGCAGCCGCUGUAA
Molecule: ribosomal RNA, 476 nt
Filed under: uncultured bacterium
Lineage: Bacteria
Description: partial 16S ribosomal RNA
Rfam family: Bacterial small subunit ribosomal RNA
Source: RNAcentral